AUACGGGGCUCUUGAGUCUGGUAAUUGGAAUGAGUACAAUCUAAAUCCCUUAACGAGGAUCAAUUGGAGGGCAAGUCUGGUGCCAGCAGCCGCGGUAAUUCCAGCUCCAAUAGCGUAUAUUUAAGUUGUUGCAGUUNAAAAGCUCGUAGUUGGACCUUGGGUUGGGUCGAUCGGUCCGCCUAUGGUGAGCACCGGUCGGCUCGUCCCUUCUGCCGGCGAUGCGCUCCUGGCCUUAAUUGGCCGGGUCGUGCCUCCGGCGCUGUUACUUUGAAGAAAUUAGAGUGCUCAAAGCAAGCCUUCGCUCUGUAUACAUUACGCAUGGGAUAACAUCAUAGGAUUCCGAUCCUAUUGUGUUGGCCUUCGGG
Molecule: ribosomal RNA, 365 nt
Filed under: Babesia vulpes
Lineage: Eukaryota; Apicomplexa; Aconoidasida; Piroplasmida; Babesiidae
Description: SSU rRNA
Rfam family: Eukaryotic small subunit ribosomal RNA
Source: RNAcentral